UCGGACUCACUGUAGGCACACUCGCACCCACACAGGCGCACUGAUCGCCUGCCGGGAGGUGAUCCGAGAGACACGCACCGCGACGAGUCGAAGCGCACUCUUGCUCCACGUUGUGCGCUCGCUUUUCUCGUCUCCCACCACCUGCGACUCUCGUUGCAGUGGCAUUAGUGGUAGUGGUGGUGGUGCGCCCCCCUCAGACAGAAGGGACCAACACGCACACUCCAUGCAUAUUUGCAGAGCUGCGCGUGAUAUCAGGCAGUCAGACACGAGCUCCUUAUUCUUCUUUCACUCUUCCCUCACAUUCUAAGACAGCUGGUACAGCGACACACCCGCACGGACUGGACAGUCGUUAGCAGGCGCACACUGACGCCUUCAGGCAUCGCUCAAGACGACCGUGCAUCUGUGGGUACGCGCGCGUUGCUUGCGGGGCUUCGCCCUCCUCCUCCCUAUCUUGUCCUGUUUUUCUUUUGAUUGAUCUUUUUAGUUUGGGUGCACUCUCUCAUCUUAUCGGAGCCUCCCGCGUCGGCAGGCGAUUUUGCCGCGACGACCACUACUCCCCCGCCACAGAUCUCUCUCUUCCUCAUUAGUUCCUUCUUCCGUGUCUGUUUCUGCGCCCACCGCGGCGUUGUUGUCUGCCACCCCCUCCCCCACCUACCUCCCUCCCUCUCGCCACGACCCUGUGAUUUGCCUUUUCUCUCGCUCCGUUCAUCGGCCUGCUAUUCCCUUCUUUUGUAGGCGAACGCACGCGCGUGCCUGCGUGCAUCUGUGCACUGUUGCGGCCCCGCCAUCUCCGUUGUAUGGCGCCAAGAGAGUACCCUGCGCCGCAACGAAUACACCCCCACCUCUUUUCUCAUCUGUGAUAACUGCUAAGGCCCUUCUCCUACGGACUUGAUCGGGCGGACUCCCAAACCCUCCCUCCUCCCCACCCUCUCUCCUCGACGAGUGAAAGCGAAGGUGUGGGGACAAGCAUCACCGGCCAUCCUGCCCUACAGCAGACGUACGACGGGACAGUUAAUCUUCUCUUUCUUUUUCUUUCCUUUUUUUGCGCGCAGAGGAGGUUGUAAUGCCGCUUGCGUCGAGUUGCGUGUCGCUGUGCGCGCCCUUCACGGCCGUUGCAGCGGUGUUGCUCUUUAUGAUGUCACACAUGCUGCGCUGCGGUAACUGGACAUUCGAGGUGCUCGCCGCCAAGAACGGCUGGGAUAGGGAGACGAAAGCGAACACAUGCUUGCGUGGAGGCUUGCUGUACCUGUUCACGUCUCUGGCUUUGUGGAUCGCCGUGUUUCUCCAUGCACCUGCGCGGCGUCUGUGGAUGCAGCUGCAGUGGAGCAGGAGGCGGGAGGAUGACGGAGCCAGCCGUGAGGCACUCCUGCACGGUGACGACGACUCUGCGAGUCACGCUGGUGGACGUUACGGGCGCCGCGCUUCCAAGCGCUUACAGAGCCGCACGGGCAGCGGCCGGCGCGAGGAAGUGACGGAGAUGUCGGCACUGGACUGGGGAGAAGAUGCGCGGACGACAAAGUGCUCCGCCGCCGCCGCCGCAGCAGCUGGCGGCCUUCUAGCAGACGGUGAUAUGCGGAACAGCGCAGCGGUAGGCGCACCAAUGGCACGCCGCUUUUCCUAUUUCCAACGUAGCCUGACCGACGUUGGUGGUGGUGGCAGUGAUAACUCGAUGCGCGUCAGCGGUGACCUUGGCAGUGCGGGUGCCACACCAUCGAGCGGCCACACCGGGGCUGGCACCGUAUCGUGGAUGCAAUCACGCGGACUGAGGAGCCGCGGAACUGGCAGUGCUGCUUCGGGCUGCGCAAGUAUCGGUGCGGGCGGAGGACUCCGUUUGAACAGCAUCAGCUUUAAUGUACCGUCUCCUACCCCCACCACGGGGGCUGACAGCAUGGACGACAUGGAUUUCAUGUCGGACGUCGAGGUGGACGGGAUGCGGCACUACACUACGCCGCAGGUGCGAGCAUCCGCCUGGGGACUGCACCGUCCAACAACGGGCAUGGAAGCUCCUGGCGGAGCGGGAUUAGGGGGCUGGCAUCGCGCCCAGGCACGGGGAGCUGGCAACAAUGGUGCGCCAGCGACGGAACGUGGUGAUCAUGGGCACAGCGGCUCUACUGAGCCUACUACAACUGCGGCGCGGUUGUCGAUGCUCACCAGCCUUUGGCAGACGAGCAGCUCCGGACCAUCACCGACUGAGGCGCAUCGAGCAAGCAGCAGGCGGGUGAGCCGUGGCCACGGCCCACCCGCCGCACUCUCUGGCGGUAACGUUGGUGGCGGAGCAAAGAGCAAGAGUACUUGAUGGCUGUCCCUGUGCACGUCUCUCAUGCGUUGCCUUUCCGUGUGACCGGGUGUGAAGGGGUCUCGUGAGGCCUCUGUGUGUGUGUGUGUGUGUUUGGGUGCGUGGGCGGGUGAGUGAGAGUGUACUCGUGAAGUUCUUCGAGUCCAGUGGCGGGCCCUAGACGCACUCCCGUGUGGUGUUUGACUAUUUUGCUUGCACAUGUGCCUUUUGCUUCGACACUCCCCCCGCACUGUUUGCCCUGCCUGUCCCUCUGCCCACUUGUCACACCCGCAUGCGCUUCGCACCUCUCCUUCUCUGCAUCCGAAAGUGCCGCAGCUCUUUCAGAGGUCCUCGACCAACCAAGGACAAGCAAGGCGCUUGCGUCGCGCCGCACAUGUCUCUCUGCCUGCAUGUGCGCGUUUUUGUGAAACGGGGGAAAGAGGGGGAGGAGGCCACAUGCGACGGCUCAACGCACAUACCGGCGUGCGCUCUCGGGUUAGGAUCCUCAUGAGGGGGCUGGCACACGUGCCGUGCGCGCUCGCGCUCUUGCUGUCUCGCUCGCUCUCGGAACGAUUGCACGCUUCGAUUUUAUUCUUUCAGCGUGCGUGCAUGCAGCCGGCAUGGGAAGGGGUCGAGGCAGGAGCGGCAAGUACUCAAGCGGAUGCGGUGGUGCUGUGCCUCACGCUGGCUGCUUGGGAGGGAAGGGGAGGCGGCUUUUGUGUUUCUAUUUCCGAUUGCACGAGCAGCAGCACCCCAUCACCAUCGCCCGAAGAACAACCUGCGCACCGACAGCAGACGCCCAUCUACAGCUGCAUGUGCUCUUCGAGCUUUUUGCCUUGGUAGGAGAACGGAACAAGACUACGGGGGGGAGAUGGUGAUGCGAAGCCCCAUUCCAAGCGCAUGGGGCUCCGGGCGCGCAGCUAUGAGCACCGGCGCGGGUCAGAGAAAAGGGCUACGCAGGGGUCCCCUGGGGUACGCACUCGCAUGCAGGGAGAGACCAUGGAUGGAGGCGGACGCUUGGCAAGCGCGACGCGCCAAGGCACGAUACUUUUUAUUUCCUGUUUUCCUACUCUCUCCUCUCAAGCC
Molecule: unclassified non-coding RNA, 3361 nt
Filed under: Leishmania donovani
Lineage: Eukaryota; Euglenozoa; Kinetoplastea; Trypanosomatida; Trypanosomatidae
Description: gene:LdHU3.23.1050(CDS-product:hypothetical_prote in_conserved)
Source: RNAcentral